GUAGGGAAUAUUGGGCAAUGGUCGGAAGACUGACCCAGCCAUGCCGCGUGCAGGAAGACGGCCCUCUGGGUUGUAAACUGCUUUUAUCUGGGAAGAAAAAGGCCAUGCGUGGCAAAUUGCCGGUACCAGAUGAAUAAGCACCGGCUAACUCCGUGCCAGCAGCCGCGGUAAUACGGAGGGUGCAAGCGUUGUCCGGAUUUAUUGGGUUUAAAGGGUGCGUAGGCGGCUGAUUAAGUCAGCGGUGAAAGACUCCGGCUUAACCGGAGCAGUGCCGUUGAUACUGGUUAGCUUGAGUGUUGGAGGGGUACAUGGAAUUGAUGGUGUAGCGGUGAAAUGCAUAGAUACCAUCAGGAACACCGAUAGCGAAGGCAUUGUACUGGCCAACAACUGACGCUGAUGCACGAAAGUGUGGGGAUCGAACAGGAUUAGAAACCCGGGUAGUCC
This 444-nucleotide ribosomal RNA is filed under the name uncultured bacterium. RNAcentral's name for it is "partial 16S ribosomal RNA". It matches the Rfam family "Bacterial small subunit ribosomal RNA", at positions 354 to 796 of the family's 1533-position model. The record is from RNAcentral.